GAGGAAGAGAGGCCAGGAUGUAUGGCAUGGACACAUGGAGGAAAGGCCCAGUGAGGGUACUGCAGGGUAGCCAUCUGCAAGCCAAAGGGAGCAGCCUGAGGAGAAACCACACCCACUGACCCCUUGAUCUUGAACUUCCAGCCUCCAAAACUAAUUGAUCAAGACAAGAAGAAAUUGAGAUUGAAUCACUCUAUGAGAGAGUGUGGCAUCUACAACUAUAUUUAAUGGGCCUUCUCCAGAAUGAUUAAACACAAAGUCACAGCAGAUAA
Molecule: long non-coding RNA, 269 nt
Organism: Manis javanica (Malayan pangolin)
Lineage: Eukaryota; Metazoa; Chordata; Mammalia; Pholidota; Manidae
Source: RefSeq, a predicted model, not a curated record